This 799-nucleotide ribosomal RNA is filed under the name uncultured bacterium. Its description in RNAcentral is "bacterial SSU rRNA". It matches the Rfam family "Bacterial small subunit ribosomal RNA", at positions 8 to 796 of the family's 1533-position model. The record is from RNAcentral.
AGAGUUUGAUCCUGGCUCAGGAUGAACGCUAGCGAUAGGCCUAACACAUGCAAGUCGAGGGGCAGCACAUGAAGUAGCAAUACGGAUGGUGGCGACCGGCGCACGGGUGAGUAACGCGUAUGCAAUCUACCUACAACAAGGGAAUAACUCGUUGAAAGACGGACUAAUACUCUAUAAAACAGGGGUCCCGCAUGGGAAUAUUUGUUAAAGAUUUAUCGGUUGUAGAUGAGCAUGCGUUCCAUUAGCUUGUUGGUGAGGUAACGGCCCACCAAGGCAACGAUGGAUAGGGGAACUGAGAGGUUUAUCCCCCACACUGGUACUGAGACACGGACCAGACUCCUACGGGAGGCAGCAGUGAGGAAUAUUGGUCAAUGGAGGCAACUCUGAACCAGCCACGUCGCGUGAAGGAAGACGGCCCUACGGGUUGUAAACUUCUUUUGUAAGGGAAUAAAGUGCAGUACGUGUACUGUUUUGCAUGUACCUUACGAAUAAGGAUCGGCUAACUCCGUGCCAGCAGCCGCGGUAAUACGGAGGAUCCAAGCGUUAUCCGGAUUUAUUGGGUUUAAAGGGUGCGCAGGCGGAAGAUUAAGUCGGCGGUGAAAUUUUGCAGCUCAACUGUAAAAGUGCCUUCGAAACUGGUUUUCUUGAGUGUGGAUGAAGUAGGCGGAAUUUGUGGUGUAGCGGUGAAAUGCAUAGAUAUCACGAGGAACUCCGAUUGCGAAGGCAGCUUACUAAGCCAUAACUGACGCUCAAGCACGAAAGCGUGGGGAUCAAACAGGAUUAGAUACCCUGGUAGUCG